GUGGCAGAUUGACAAGCUCUCGCUAUGCCGCUGCCUCUCUGCAUUUCUCUUCCUGGUUGGUGUGAUAAGAGCAGCUUUCCUCUGCCCUGGAUCUUCCAUCACACCACUGACCAUGCAAGCUUCUAAUAUGUGAGCCAAAAUAAACUUCUGGUCCUUUAAGUUGCAGAUGUUCAGUAAUUUGUGCCAGUCACUAAGAGAGUGAUUAACACAGCUGUAUAGACCUGUCACGGUACAUUAACAAAGCAAAAAAGCCCUUGGAAGAUACUGCCACCUGGAUGUUGGACUGCACAGCUUCCCUAACAGAUUGUGUGUGAUUAUCUCCCAACAGCAAGAAGUUAUGGAGGAGAUCUCAUCUCCAGAGGAGGAGGAGAAAAAGCCAGAGGAAUCCUUCACUUCAAACGCAAUCUAAUACAGAAGUUUUCUCUCUGCUCUGCUCUGCUCGGCUGGCCUAAGAUUUUCAAGAUGAUCGCUUCAUUUCUAACAUCACAUCUAUACAUUCAAAAGACACAGAAGGAUGAAAGUAAGGGACUACACAGCUAUCUGCAUUCCAUUUUUUGUCAAGAAAGUAGCAAUCCUUGUAGAACAUCAUCUUGAUGAUUUUGUUGUGGAUUUGUUCCAAAUUUGUCACUCCUAGCUACUAAAAGUCUAGAGAACCAGG
Molecule: long non-coding RNA, 658 nt
Organism: Heterocephalus glaber (naked mole-rat)
Lineage: Eukaryota; Metazoa; Chordata; Mammalia; Rodentia; Bathyergidae
Source: Ensembl